Molecule: long non-coding RNA, 2991 nt
Organism: Aquila chrysaetos chrysaetos
Lineage: Eukaryota; Metazoa; Chordata; Aves; Accipitriformes; Accipitridae
Exons: 4
Source: RefSeq, a predicted model, not a curated record
CUUCUGAAUCCACAUUUAGCUUACUUAAGGACUGAGGAUCAACGGAGCCUACUGAGGGCAGUGAAUGCUACAGGUAUUCUGCAUCUUAGUGUGCCACCUUGCUAGACAUAGAUAUGGACUCAGCAGUGUAAUAUUAGAUAAUUAGGCUUUGGGGAUUGGAUCUGGUUUUUCUUGUCUACACCAAGCCCCCUAGCUAUUUAUGGAUUUUCAAGAAGUUCCUGUCAUGAACAGGAAAGCGAAAGGCUUGUUUGUCUACUCAUCUAUAAUGAUCCCCUUUGCAACCUGCCAGAGCAAACCUGCUCUAGAAUCAAAGCAUCACCCUGGGGACAUCCUUUGGGAAGAUAGUUACAGGAGCAUAUCCAAAAAGGGAGAGAAACUGAUGGAAGUGGCUGUGAAGUAAGCAGAUGUGAAACAAGUGGACUGAAUUGUUGAUUUUCAUCUCUUCUUCACAGCGUUUGCAAAAGCAAAGUGAAUGGAGUAGAAAAAUGUUAACUUUUAAAAAGAGCAGUAUAAGUACAAGAAAGGUUCCCCUGCCUAACUUUCCAUGAUCCUUCAUCUUUAGUACUCAUUUGCUAGAACUAGGUCUUCUCAAAAAUGGCUGUUUCCCCUCCCCUGAGACUUCAUAAAAUAACAAUGAUUCAGCCGUUAUUGGAGUAUAUCCUAGUAUUAGGAUAAACCAUUGCUUGCUUGGAGUGUUAGCGUAACUAUUUUGUUCCAGAAAAUACAGCCUUCUCCUCUCCAUAGGUGGGACAGAAAUAGGCACUUUCCUACCAACGUGUGCUCUGUCAUUUAGGAAUAGACACUGCCUGAAGAAGGCCGUGUUUUGUGAAUUGCAGGGUCUAGACAAAUUGGAAGUCAAUCCUGAAACAUCAUGCCAGGUAUUAAUGCAGUAUGUGUAUUUAGGAGGGGAAGGAGAGGUUCAGCCAUUUUCUGAGGGGUAAGGAUAUGCUUUACACAGCUAUUGGUAUAGUGGCACAUCAUUUUAUGUACAAAUUAUCAAGCUCAAUUAGAUUUUUAUUUUUGGCUUUCCCUUUAUGAUGAUUCAUUUCACCAUUCAAAUUCUGGUGUGUUUUGUUACAAAAUUCACUCUUUUCCUGAGGGUGUGAGCUGACUGUUCUCGGCAGAUGUUUAGUUUGAUGUUUUAAUUCUUGAUCAGAAUAAACAUGGUUAGCUGAUCUCCAAGGGACUGAGAGUCAAAACCCUAACCUCUUCCCAAUCCUGAACAGCUUUAUUAAGUGCCACUGCUUCCUUAUUUUAUAUGGCUUUAUGUCUGUCUUUAAUUAUAGUCUAGUAUAAUAUCAUCAUAGCUGCUGAGUACUGCCUUGAUAAUCACAAGUUAUUUUGUAAACAGGCUGACCCAGGUGCUGUAUAUAUCCUAUAGAGAGCACAGCUAUUGCUAGAACCUGUUACUAUUGAAAAUCCUGCAGGCAGGCCAAAGGUCACUUGCAUAUGACCAUACUUUGUAGUGGUGGAAGGAAAAAAAACCCCAAAGCAGUCUUGCUUUCUGGCAAAGGUACCAGUGUGUUAAAAUACAUGUGCUCUGCUCAGGAAAGUAUUAACUUGAAAAAAAGUUUCUCCUAAUGUGGAGAGAGUUUAUUCUACUUAUUAAAGCAAUGCACUGAGUUUACACAGGUCAGCAAAAUGCACCUGAGUUACUCUAUGGUUUUAGAUAAAUGUUUUGUCUUACUUGCCUACGUUUCCUCAGGAGUAAAAUUACAAUAAUGAUUACUUAGUGAAUAGUGUCAUGAGGGUAAGCUGCUUCUAGGACGGGAAUUUACCCCAGAAGAACCUUGUAUAAAGAGCAGCUUAGUCUUGCUAUGGUAGGACUUCUACCUCUGUGUAUUUCAGAGCUUUAUUUCAGAGAGAUGAUUGUAUGCAACAGUUGAUGACAUUUUUAACACAUAAAAUAAGCUGUGCACAAAUGAUAAUAUGCAAAGAAAACAAGUGCUAUGGGGAUCUCAGAUCGAUUCCUUUAAACACAGUUCUCCUCUUUAACUGAUUGUGACACUGCUUGUACAAUCCCUUGGGAGUAGAUCCCAGAAACAAAAUCCUUCAAGAGGACUCUCUUCAUCAUCUUGAACAAUACCCUUAUCAUAAAUCCUGUUUGCAGGCACAGGAGCAUUUACAUGAAGGCUCCAACCUAAAGCGGUAUUCAGCUGGCUUGUCCAAACUGGCACAUUUGUAUCGGAGAGGAACCCGUGAAUGAGGCAGUGCAGAUGCCACCUAGACAGACGACAUUUCUUGCGUGAGUGGAUGGGAGGUGACUGAUACACAGGCUGCAUGUGAGGCAGCAUGUGUUAUUUCUUGGCUGUCUGUCCUGGGUCUGUUUGGUGCAACUAAUGUGCAGCUUCUCAUGCUAGUAAGCGAGUGAAGACAGGAAGCCAGCAGAGAGAGAGGCAGAGCACUGCGGUGCAGCACAUACAUUGCUGGACCCUGAAGUCGCCACUCAGAUGAGGAAGGAAACAGGUUAGCAUUUUGUUCUUGUGAUGCUGAACAAUGUGCAGGGUACAGAAGGGAUGUGAAGUCACUCCCAUGUCCCAGUCCCAUCAUCUUUCCUGCUCCCUGCCUCCCACACAUUGCCUCCAAAGGAAAAUGAUUUGCUUUUUACCUUCUGAAGGUUUGGGCUGUGGUUUAGGGAGAGAAGAGAAACAGCUUUAUAAGUAAUGACUCUAAAAUAAAUUACGCUUGAAUCAAAUAAAAAAUAUGUAAAUAUUUCCAGUAUCAUUACAAGAAAAUCCAGAAUAUGUUAUUAUUUUUAUAUAUAAAAAAAAGCUUGUUAGAUCAACAUUUCUUUUAAAGGUAGAAUGAAAACUGAGUUAAGAACCUGGUGGAUUCCCAUUUUCUUCUUUUCUUCCUACCUCCUUUUUUCUCCUAGUCUCCACCCAUCCUCAUCACUUCUGCUCAUGUAUUUAAUUCAAAGGCAAAGAACUAUGAAGUCUCUCUCAACUGAAAAAAAAUACGGAUGAGAUUGUUCACCUGCCAAGUUCAAAU